RNAcentral lists this long non-coding RNA (2077 nucleotides) under Papio anubis (olive baboon). RNAcentral's name for it is "lncRNA (ENSPANG00000046810.1)". Lineage: Eukaryota; Metazoa; Chordata; Mammalia; Primates; Cercopithecidae. The record is from RNAcentral.
AGAAAUCUUAUUGUAUUACUAGCUUUUGUAAAGUGGGAUAAAAUUUGUUUUAAUAUGAGUAAAAAAUAAAUUAUAAAAUGUUAUCAAAGUUUCCAAAAAUAAAAGAUACGUGAAUUGAAUCUACAACACUGGUUUUAAAUGAGAAGCAGGAGUGUGAUUGCUUUGUGGAGUGCAUAUGAAGAACCAGAAAAUAUUGUUGUGUUUUCAUUUUUGUUUUCAAAUUAAUAUUACCAAAUCAUAUUAUUUUUUCUUCUGGGGAUCCUUAAUUCAGGUAAAAAAAGAAUAGUUUACUAAUCGCUCCAGGGGAUUUUAUGUAUUCUUCUGCCUUUUCUAAGAGUGUGAUAUGUUUUAAAAUUUGAAGAACUUUCAUUUGUAUGGGUGAUGUAUAAGAAGUAUAGCAUGUAAUGAUGAGGAAAUGUGCUAUAGCCUCAAUUGACCAAAUAGAAGAAUAAAGGUAGUACAGAGAAAAACUAAUAGUGUUUUGCGUUUUUAAUGAUUUACGUAAGUAAAUGCAUUAAAAUGGUUUUGAUUAAGUUGGCUAUAUUCGUUCUCAAGGUGCUAAUAAAGACAUAUCCAAGACUGGGUACUUUAUAAACAAAAGAUGUUUAAUUGACUCACAGUUCCACAGGGUUCGGGAGACUUCGGGAAUCUCACAACCAUGACUGAAGGGGAGGCAAACAAGUCCUUCACAUGGCAGCAACAAAGAGAAGUGCCAAGCAAAAGGCAGAAAAGCACCUUGUGAAAUCAUCGGAUCUCUUGAGAACCUACUUACUUACUGUCAAGAGAGCAGCAUCACGAUGGCUGACUAGAAGCAUUUCAAGCAUUCCUCCUCCACUUGGCAGAACCAAAAUAGUAUGUGGACAAUCACACUUUGAAUACAUUACUCAGGAAGGAACACAGGAGUUCAACAGAAAGUUGAAGGGAAGUCUUCAAAUCUGGGAGGAAAAAAGAAAAUGGGCAGCCUGAGUGGCCAAGAUCAGCCAAGACCUGGGUGCAAAUCCUCAAUAUGGAAAAGGGUGAGUGAAUGUGCUUCCGUGGUCCACUUUCCUACUGUGGAAUUGUGCGAGUUGAGGAACAAGGGGAGUACCUAACCCUCCCAAUCUCUGAAUCUAGCUUGAGAAGCAGCCAGAAUACUGUGAGAAAGAAUUGCUUCAGGAGUGUUGCAUGCCCUUUUAUAGACCUGGGAUGCUAUUCUUGAGCCCACCUCCAAGCCAACUGUGCAUGGUCCUUGAGAGUAGCAGCAUUGGUCCUGGCUGGUAGGGAUGCUUAGAGGCAAUUAUGGAAAUGGGACUUUACUGCAGGAUGGGUUACCACAAGUAGUUCUGAGAAUUGAGUGUGGAGUGAGAUCUAGCCACUGGUGGAGCUGGGCACCCUGAGGAUUGCCUUGUCCUGUCCUGACAAGCAUGGUGCCUGUACCUACCACUAGGAGGCCUGGGUUCAAGGUUGCCUGGUUCAGCUCUGCCAAACUUCUCCCCACUCUCUGAGACAGUGUGGGAUCCAUGCUCAUGGGUGUUCCACAAAUCAAUCCACCACGUGGGACACCCAAGUACUUCCCUCAGGGAACAUAGGUCAGAUUUAUACAUCCUACCACUACCCCCACAGCUGUAUUAUUAUUAUUGUUUUUUUACCUGUCAGUGCCACCUACUGGCCUAGAGGAUAGCCCAUGUAUUUCAUUACCAUUAUAACAACUGCUAGCACAAAAACACUCAGGAACUACAAAAGGAUCUCAUGACCACUGCUACUGCCAUCACCCACAACACCCCAGGUUCCAAGGAUGCCAAAAGCCCACUCACCUCCUUAGUGCACCACUGCUACUACUGGCAUCUGAGAAAGCCACUCAGAAGCCCAGGAACCAGCCUGCCGGGAACUGCCACCUCAGGCGCCAGCAUACAUGACCCCAGAUCACAAUGAUAAACAUGCUGAGCCCACCACUACUAUGAAUGAAACCUGAAGAGCUUUUAGGCAUUCUAGUCCUCAGCACAACUUCCCCACAUCCCCCACCCAUGGCUGCACCCUAACUACUGAGCAACCCACAGAUACCAAGGCUAGGUAUAGCCAAAGAAAUCUUUUUAUUAUU